This 64-nucleotide transfer RNA is filed under the name Rhagophthalmus lufengensis. Its description in RNAcentral is "tRNA-Pro". Lineage: Eukaryota; Metazoa; Arthropoda; Insecta; Coleoptera; Rhagophthalmidae. The record is from RNAcentral.
CAGAGAAUAGUUUAAUUAGAAUUUUAAUUUUGGAGAUUAAUGGUAAAGUUUACUUUUUCUCUGA